RNAcentral lists this unclassified non-coding RNA (210 nucleotides) under soil metagenome. RNAcentral's name for it is "partial contains 5.8S ribosomal RNA, internal transcribed spacer 2, and large subunit ribosomal RNA". The record is from RNAcentral.
AACCUUAUGGACCUGCGGGCGUAUACCUGCGGAGGGAUCAUUACCGAGUUUACAACUCCCAAACCCCUGUGAACAUACCUAUACGUUGCCUCGGCGGAUCAGCCCGCGCCCUGUAAAAAGGGACGGCCCGCCCGAGGACCCUAAACUCUGUUUUUAGUGGAACUUCUGAGUAAAACAAACAAAUAAAUCAAAACUUUCAGCAAUGGAUCU